RNAcentral lists this ribosomal RNA (301 nucleotides) under uncultured bacterium. RNAcentral's name for it is "partial 16S ribosomal RNA". It matches the Rfam family "Bacterial small subunit ribosomal RNA", at positions 509 to 809 of the family's 1533-position model. The record is from RNAcentral.
CAGUAGCCGCGGGAAUACGUAGGUGGCAAGCGUUGUCCGGAAUUAUUGGGCGUAAAGGGCUCGCAGGCGGUCUCUUAAGUCUGAUGUGAAAGCCCCCGGCUCAACCGGGGAGGGUCAUUGGAAACUGGGAAACUUGAGUGCAGAAGAGGAGAGUGGAAUUCCACGUGUAGCGGUGAAAUGCGUAGAGAUGUGGAGGAACACCAGUGGCGAAGGCGACUCUCUGGUCUGUAACUGACGCUGAGGAGCGAAAGCGUGGGGAGCGAACAGGAUUAGAUACCCGCGUAGUCCCUGUCUCUUAUAA